This is an RNA transcript of Xenopus laevis (African clawed frog), 3734 nucleotides long. It is a transcript of the gene named formin-2-like, with no coding region annotated. The record is from RefSeq and is a predicted model, not a curated record. The transcript is spliced from 6 exons. Lineage: Eukaryota; Metazoa; Chordata; Amphibia; Anura; Pipidae.
AAAGGGUAAGAAUCUUUAACUUGUGGGUAGUAUUUCAAGAAGGUGCAUCUGUUGGUAUAAUGUGGCUGCUCUCUGACAUCAUGUUCAUACAAAAUCGUUUUGUGAGAGCUCAUCCACAUUGUAUUCUGAUUUAUCUGUUGAGACUCACCAAAUGCAAAAUAAAAAAAUUAAAUUGUCAUUUCUCUUGUGAUUUUAAUUGUAGAAAUAUCAACUUCUUCAGAACAUUUUGCAUUAGAUCGACACAAGUAUGUGAUCCUGUCCCGAUCGACAUAGAGAAAGGGGAAAAAGAGAGAAGGGCACCGUUUCCAUACCUCUGUGCGAAGGUUACACUGCUCAUACUUCUCAUUAUCAGAUUCGUCCAUUACAUGGACACAUAUCUAGCUGAAGGUAAGACAGGGGCUGGAAGGAAGAAAUACAUUUUCUGAAGGUAACAGAACCACUUCACUACCUGUACUAACGUGUCCAUAUGGUACUUUGUUCCUCUUACAGGUGUUAUGCCGUUGAUUGAAGCAGAAUAUGAACUCUCCAUUGACAAAGUUGCGAGAGUAGAAACAUGUUUUGCUAUUGUUUUUGCCUUGGUCAAUCCAUUCUUUGGACAUCUAUCAGAUCAGAUCAGCCGGAGGACCCUCAUGUGUCUGGGAGUAACGUAUUGGACUCUGUUUGUUGCGAGCUGUUCCAUAAUUCCCCAGGAGGUAAGAGUCGAUGUAUUGGAUGGUCAAUGAGAUUUCACUUCGCGUAUAACCUGUACUCAGUAAUAUUAAUUCUUCAUGAAUCCUAACUUAUAAAAAUUUGUACCCUCUUAUCCUUUAGUGGGGUUGGACCAUCCCUUUUAUACGGAGUGCCGUGGCCGCAAUAGAAAGUUUUUUUGCAGGCAUUUCCCUGACCCUGAUUGAUGACCUGUGCCCACCUGAAAAUCGACGAGGGACUUUAUGCAUGUUUAACAGUUUCAGCUAUAUAAUGGGGUAAGCUGCAAGUUGUACCUGGAUUCCUGCUACAUUCCUGUUGGUUUGUGUGUGGAUUCUGUUAUAUUAACCCUGAAUCUCCUUGGUUCUGUUACAGUGCCUUUGGGAUCGUUGUGGGAGCAAUUGUGCCAGUCUACUUAGGCUCAAACUGGCGUCUUGCACUGCAGGUAAGGAAAAUUCAACCGGUUACCAUUAAUUAUAUUGGGGUGAUGAGAAGAUACAAUUGAAUAUUGGCUAAACAUUAAAAGACAAAUAAAACAGUGGUUGUUGUGAGAUAUUAGCCUUUUACUAUCAGUUUAGUUGAUUGGAUACUCUACAUGAAAAGAGAUACAUGGCUGGGUACUUAACUGCUGUUUUCUUUGAACACAGACAGUUGCAGGCUUGGGAUUAGUGUGCCUAGUGUUGCUAAUCUGUUUCAUGAAGGAACCACCUAGAUGCUACACUGAGGACCACAGUGAUGACCCUCAGAUGCAGAUCCUCAGUUUUCAAUAUAUUUGGAAGUUGACCUCCUCCUUCUUCAAAAAUCUGAGGAUACUAUUUAAAAUGUGAGUAUUAUUUAUGAUAAAUAACAAUCAAAUGGAAAAUUGCAGAAGAUGUAUAUAUAUUACUAAUCCCUCUCCUCCACUUUCAGACGGAGCUUUGUUUUUCUCACCUUCGCUUCAUGGUCCGUGACGUUCAUUAAUGAAGCCAUGUUUGCCCUUGUUCCUGAUUUCCUGAACCAAACCAGGGCCGUGACAAGCAGUUUGUUUCCCUGUCUGUUGCCAGAUUGUUACUACAGCGACUUCAUGAUCUAUGGUUUGAUUAAAUACAUGGCUGACAUAGUGGGGAUUCAAAUAGGAAUGGUGAUCAUCACUCGGUGGUUCAAGAUGUAUCCAUUCGCUGAUCGACUGGUAUCCGGUUUAGGACUUUUGGCCUCUGGAUCUUUCAUAUGCAUCUUCUUUUUCAGUGUAGAAAUCAGCUUUACCCUUGCCUAUGGGUUCAUCUUUGUAGGUGGCGUUCUACUGAAUAUAAACCAGGCUGUAGCUACUGACAUGAUACUGUCGGUAGUAAUGCCAAAUUCCCGAGGCACAGCAAUAGCCUUGCAGUCUUUUAUAGCACAGUUAGGAGGAGGGGUAUUUGCUCCAUUUAUCAUUGAGAAGGUAAGUGCAUUUGAUUCCCCUUAAGAUUUUAAACUCUAGCAAACCCAACCUUUUAGCUUUAUAUCUGAGCCACUGUAAAUGGUUUGUUAUCAUAGUGUCUCUCUGCUGUGCAGUCCUGUGUAAUAUGUCACCACUUUAUAAACAUGCAACAAUUAACUUCUAUGUCUUUUAUCAGAUUUCUGAGGUGAUCCAGAUGUGGCAACCAGAAACCAGCCCAAUGCACUGCUUGCAACAUGCCUUGAUAAUAUUGCCAGUUCUGGCAGUGAUUGGAGGAUGCUUCUUCCUCUGUACAAUCUUUUAUGAAGAGGAUCGGAAAGUAGUUGAACAGGCCCGCACCCCAAGCCCACCACCUGAAUUGAACCUACAGGACAUACUGGUGUACGACUCUGAAGAUCCUGGAUAUGCUGCUCAGCCUUCUCUAGAAUUGGCUCCUGAGUCUCCAGAUCCUGCUGCAGAACUACCUGCUCAGCCCCCAGAUCUUGAUACAUGCAGGUUCUGCUGCUUUCCCUUUCUAGGACUGGCUCCUAAGCUUUCAGAUCCUUCUCCAGAGAUACCUGCUCAGCCUCUAGAUCCUUCUCUAGGACUGGCUCCCGAGCCUCCAGAUCCUGCUCCAGAACUACCUGCUCAGCCUCCAGAUCCUUCUGUAGGACAUACCCAUACACAAUUGGAGAUGACAUAGUGAUAUUGCAGAUUUAAUGGCAACAGAAGAUAAUAACAGGAACAGGCAUAAAUCAAAAACAAGCUCAAACCAAGGUCAUUACCAUUAAAUCCAGGAGGGCAAGGAAUGCUGGAACAAGAACACUGGAACAAGGAAUUCAGGAAUACAGGAACAAGGAAUGCAGGUCAUACAGGAACACACACAAUGACUCGGCCCUGGGCAAUGCUCAGGGCUGGGUUUAUAAAGGAAUGGUGAUGAGAAAUGGGAAACACAUGAGGGAAACUAUGCGGGUGGAGAACAGGGAGGAGAAAACUAUAGACAGGGAGAACACCUGAACAUAUAGCAUAGGAACCAGGACCAGCCCUAAGAGCCUCCAGUGGCUCAUGGAGUAAGUGCAGGACACUGGAACAAGGAAUUCAGGAAUACAGGUCAUACAGGAACACACACAAUGACUCAGCACUGAGCAAGGCUCAGGGCUGGGUUUAUAAAGGAAUGGUGAUGAGGAAUGGGAAACGAUGUGGGUGGAGAACAGGGAGGAGAAAACUAUAGACAGGGAGAAUACCUGAACAUAUAGCAUAGGAACCAGGGCCAGCCCUAAGAGCCUCCAGUGGCUCAUGGAGUAAGUGCAGCACACAGGGUUCAAGUCCCGGGCUGGUCCUUACAUUACCCCCCCUUUAGGAUCGACCACCGGGCAAUCCCAAAGUCGAAUGCCCCCCCAUACUUUUUAGUCCAAUAAGUGGAACACUACUAGGACCCGGAAUGGGGGCAUCAAAAGGAACAGAAACCACUUCGCAAGAGUCAUGAACCACCUCUCCAGGAUCAGGGACCAGAGCAGAAACAUCACAGGCACCCAUUACAGGUGGUGGACCAGGAACCAGGAGGCGCCCAUUCCGAUUAGAAGAAAAGAGGUUCCACCUAAAUAUUCGGAAGGGGUUUUUUACAGUGAGAGCUGUGAAGAUGUGGAAUUCUCUCCCU